CAGUAGCAUCCCUGUGUUUUCUGGAAGACGGUUCCGCAUUUCCUUCAGACUGAAAAUCAGUUGUUUCCUGCAAUACUAUCUGCAUAGAAGUAGCCAGUGACACCACAUUUACUAUCCUUGGCAUCAUUAAGGAGUCUUCAUUUUCUGUUCAGUGUUCAUUUUCUUGUCACCUUGACUGGAGUCCCUUCCAUUCUGAAACAGAACAUUAAAAAGGCAGUUAAACUCAGUCCUGCAGAGAAGCUCCAGCCAGCUUGACAGAACUGCACUCUCCUUUCCAAUUGGUAUUCUUUACCUGGAGGGAUACAACAUGAUGGACAGUGGAGUUUGGAACGUUUUUCAGCUCUGGAAACUGAACUACUGUAGUUAGCCUAAUACCACAAAACAAAACUCA
Molecule: long non-coding RNA, 391 nt
Organism: Podarcis raffonei (Aeolian wall lizard)
Lineage: Eukaryota; Metazoa; Chordata; Lepidosauria; Squamata; Lacertidae
Exons: 4
Source: RefSeq, a predicted model, not a curated record